GGGCCCGCCCGCCGUCAGGGAAUUGCAGGAAUUCUGAGGCGUCAUUCCUGAAAAACCUGCGGAACGCGGCCCUAACUCUGCUAUACCGUCCUGCUAAAGGCCUUACGCGUUCUCCAGGAGGGGUCCGCACAAAGCAGCCCCCCACCCGUACGGGAGUCGGAAGUGCCUCUUCCCCGUGAAUUGCCGCUGUCCCUGCCCUGAGGAAGCCCCCCAGAAAUGUCGCCAUGGCCGUCCCCUCGUCCUUGCCCGUGUGCCCGCUGUGCCGGCCCGCCCUGCCGCAAAGGCGCGUUCCUCACUCGAUCCCCUUGGCAGCUGGCUCCAGGCAGGAAUCCCGGGCUGUCUUUCCACAGUUCCUGGACAGUUUCCUUCUGGGAUUAAACAAAUCCCCGCACUGUUUCCCGAACGAGCAACUGCCUGAAGCAAGGUAUAUAAUCCUGCAUCACCUGAGCUUUUGGCAUUGGUUGGGUAUGUCAAAGAAAAAGCUUGAAACUCCUGAAAACCAGGGAGACACAACAUCACAUCUGAAAUUUUAAUUGUCAUCAAUUGAUCAUCUGAAAUGUGGAAAGCUUUGCCACCGGUGCAGAGUUUAAUUGUGCAUGUCAGGUGAGCCUGAUAUUUUCUGAUGAGAGGUUUCCGACUCAGCUGGCGCUGCGGCUGAAGUUAAUCUGUUCCCUGACCGCUCUGUGCUCGUCUCAAACACCAGAGGGCAGAAAAUCCCCACGGAAGGAAAAUGAAAAUGUCUGCUCAGAGAAAAAUUAUCAUUCUCUUUCCAUACAAUCGCACUUGCUAGUCAUUCCUUAUCAGAAAUGGCCACUGUAGGGCAUACUCAAAGUAAAUUACAAUAAAUUACAUAUAUGGGUAUCA
Long non-coding RNA from Melospiza melodia melodia, 864 nucleotides. RefSeq lists it as uncharacterized. The transcript is spliced from 3 exons. NCBI's taxonomy places the organism in Eukaryota, Metazoa, Chordata, Aves, Passeriformes, Passerellidae. The record is from RefSeq and is a predicted model, not a curated record.